CUAAAAUUAUCAGGCAGUCAAAGAAGAUAAGUAGAUCUGCUAGUCAAAAGAGAAAAACAAUAGCUUUUUCUGUAAUAUUUCUACGAAAAGGCAAAACAAUUAAUGGCCAAUAAUUUUUAAAUGUGCUCGCACACACCAUCUCAACUGGUCCUCAAAAGAAUCUUACAGAAAUAGAAGCAUAUGAGGGAAUAAAGGAUGUGACAGAGACCACUCGGUUCCAUCACUUGCUAACCCUGGGAACUUGGAGUAUUGAAAUCAAAUAGGUACUUAAAGCAUAUCUCAACAUGGACCAUCCAUGCUUCAAGGGUUUAGUAACCAUCUGCAGCUAGUGGCUAUUGCCCUGGACAGUGCUUAAGGGAAGGCCAAGAAGAGAAUGGGGAAGAGUGAAGAUAAGGGUAUUGGCAGCUUCAUCCGGUUCACCUCAGUGCUCUCCCAGAGAAAGAGGUGACAUGCCUGCCUAGAAGGAAAGUGAGGGGUGGAUGUGAAGGGAAGAUCGGAUUUGGAGCAGGUGACAGGCAAAUCCUUACAAACCAGUAAACUGGGACUCUUCAUGAAUUCUUGCACUCUCAGUGAGAUUUGUAGUGACAGUUUUCGGUUCAAAAGUGCAUUCUUGUAACUAGACUACAUGGGAUCAUCCAGUGGAAUGAAGUCCAGUAUCACAUACACAGCUGUACUCUGAGAAGUAAUUUUAGACGUCAAGAUAAUGUAUGUCGAAGCUGUGCAAAACCACAACCCACCAGUGGAUCACGAUGCCUUUUGGCAAAUGCUGUUUAUUGUGUUAGUCUCUGGCUGUACAAUGAUCUGGAAAGCUGAACGACUGGAAUUUGUCACUUAAGCCAUUCAUCCUCAGCUGCCAAGAGGUGGGCACAUUCUGACCUCUGGAAUUAAAGUUGGGCAGAGUUCCAUACACUAUCCUACUAAGAAUGUGGUCACUAUAGCUCCAAUAAAGACAUCCUGUUUCAGCAA
Molecule: long non-coding RNA, 966 nt
Organism: Felis catus (domestic cat)
Lineage: Eukaryota; Metazoa; Chordata; Mammalia; Carnivora; Felidae
Exons: 4
Source: RefSeq, a predicted model, not a curated record